AGUGAACGCUGGCGGUAGGCCUAACACAUGCAAGUCGAACGGCAGCACAGUAAGAGCUUGCUCUUACGGGUGGCGAGUGGCGGACGGGUGAGGAAUACAUCGGAAUCUACUUUUUCGUGGGGGAUAACGUAGGGAAACUUACGCUAAUACCGCAUACGACCUACGGGUGAAAGCAGGGGAUCUUCGGACCUUGCGCGAUUGAAUGAGCCGCUGUCGGAUUAGCUAGUUGGCGGGGUAAAGGCCCACCAAGGCGACGAUCCGUAGCUGGUCUGAGAGGAUGAUAAGCCACACUGGAACUGGGACACGGUCCAGACGACUACGGGAGGCAGCAGUGGGGAAUAUUGGACAAUGGGCGCAAGCCUGAUCCAGCCAUACCGCGUGGGUGAAGAAGGCCUUCGGGUUGUAAAGACCUUUUGUUGGGAAAGAAAAGCAGCAGGUUAAGACCCCGCUGUUCUGACGGUACCCAAAGAAUAAGCACCGGCUAACUUCGUG
Molecule: ribosomal RNA, 492 nt
Filed under: uncultured bacterium
Lineage: Bacteria
Description: partial 16S ribosomal RNA
Rfam family: Bacterial small subunit ribosomal RNA
Source: RNAcentral